This is a long non-coding RNA of Pomacea canaliculata, 288 nucleotides long. RefSeq lists it as uncharacterized. The record is from RefSeq and is a predicted model, not a curated record. The transcript is spliced from 3 exons. Lineage: Eukaryota; Metazoa; Mollusca; Gastropoda; Architaenioglossa; Ampullariidae.
CAAAAGUCCAUUUUCGAAAUUUUGUGUGGCGCAGAGCAAAUGGCGGCGGCAGAACUUUGUUGAAAGAACAAGAUCUUGACAAAACCAAGACUGGCUGCAAAAAAUUGAGAAAAGGAUAGUCAGUUUUAAAAGGAGAGAUCACAAACUAAAAUCCCUGGACUGCUGGCAGACGCUUUUUUCCAGUUAACUGCCAAAACGAGGCAUUAGACAACAUAGCUUCCGGUUUAUUCAUAUUCUUUGUUACGGCUCAGCGAGACUAACCGCGGAUCACUUCACAAGAGGCCAAGA